UUGCUACUGACCUUAGCGGCGGACGGGUGAGUAAUGCUUAGGAAUCUGCCUAUUAGUGGGGGACAACGUUUCGAAAGGGACGCUAAUACCGCAUACGCCCUACGGGGGAAAGCAGGGGAUCUUCGGACCUUGCGCUAAUAGAUGAGCCUAAGUCGGAUUAGCUAGUUGGUAGGGUAAAGGCCUACCAAGGCGACGAUCUGUAGCGGGUUUGAGAGGAUGAUCCGCCACACUGGGACUGAGACACGGCCCAGACUCCUACGGGAGGCAGCAGUGGGGAAUAUUGGACAAUGGGCGCAAGCCUGAUCCAGCCAUGCCGCGUGUGUGAAGAAGGCCUUAUGGUUGUAAAGCACUUUAAGCGAGGAGGAGGCUUACCUAGUUAAUACCUAGGAUAAGUGGACGUUACUCGCAGAAUAAGCACCGGCUAACUCUGUGCCAGCAGCCGCGGUAAUACAGAGGGUGCAAGCGUUAAUCGGAAUUACUGGGCGUAAAGCGCGCGUAGGUGGCCAAUUAAGUCAAAUGUGAAAUCCCCGAGCUUAACUUGGGAAUUGCAUUCGAUACUGGUUGGCUAGAGUAUAGGAGAGGAAGGUAGAAUUCCAGGUGUAGCGGUGAAAUGCGUAGAGAUCUGGAGGAAUACCGAUGGCGAAGGCAGCCUUCUGGCCUAAUACUGACACUGAGGUGCGAAAGCAUGGGGAGCAAACAGGAUUAGAUACCCUGGUAGUCCAUGCCGUAAACGAUGUCUACUAGCCGUUGGGCCCUUUGA
Molecule: ribosomal RNA, 760 nt
Filed under: Acinetobacter sp. Y5US2
Lineage: Bacteria; Pseudomonadati; Pseudomonadota; Gammaproteobacteria; Moraxellales; Moraxellaceae
Description: bacterial SSU rRNA
Rfam family: Bacterial small subunit ribosomal RNA
Source: RNAcentral